AACGAACGCUGGCGGCAGGCCUAACACAUGCAAGUCGGACGAACCCUUCGGGGUUAGUGGCGGACGGGUGAGUAACGCGUGGGAAUAUACCCUUUGGUACGGAAUAGCCUCGGGAAACUGAGAGUAAUACCGUAUGUGCCCUUCGGGGGAAAGAUUUAUCGCCAAAGGAUUAGCCCGCGUUGGAUUAGGUAGUUGGUGGGGUAAUGGCCUACCAAGCCGACGAUCCAUAGCUGGUUUGAGAGGAUGAUCAGCCACACUGGGACUGAGACACGGCCCAGACUCCUACGGGAGGCAGCAGUGGGGAAUCUUAGACAAUGGGGGAAACCCUGAUCUAGCCAUGCCGCGUGAGUGAUGAAGGCCUUAGGGUUGUAAAGCUCUUUCAGAUGGGAAGAUAAUGACGGUACCAUCAGAAGAAGCCCCGGNUAACUCCGUGCCAGCAGCCGCGGUAAUGUC
Molecule: ribosomal RNA, 453 nt
Filed under: uncultured bacterium
Lineage: Bacteria
Description: bacterial SSU rRNA
Rfam family: Bacterial small subunit ribosomal RNA
Source: RNAcentral